AGAGUUUGAUCCUGGCUCAGGACGAACGCUGGCGGCGUGCCUAAUACAUGCAAGUAGGACGCACAGCCUAUACCGUAGCUUGCUACACCAUAGGCUGUGAGUUGCGAACGGGUGAGUAACGCGUAGGUAACCUGCCUAUUAGAGGGGGAUAACUAUUGGAAACGAUAGCUAAUACCGCAUAACAGUAUGUAACACAUGUUAGAUGCUUGAAAGAUGCAAUUGCAUCGCUAGUAGAUGGACCUGCGUUGUAUUAGCUAGUAGGUAGGGUAAUGGCCUACCUAGGCAACGAUACAUAGCCGACCUGAGAGGGUGAUCGGCCACACUGGGACUGAGACACGGCCCAGACUCCUACGGGAGGCAGCAGUAGGGAAUCUUCGGCAAUGGGGGGAACCCUGACCGAGCAACGCCGCGUGAGUGAAGAAGGUUUUCGGAUCGUAAAGCUCUGUUGUUAAGGAAGAACGAGUGUGAGAAUGGAAAGUUCAUACUGUGACGGUACUUAACCAGAAAGGCG
This 511-nucleotide ribosomal RNA is filed under the name Streptococcus sp. oral clone BP2-23. Its description in RNAcentral is "bacterial SSU rRNA". It matches the Rfam family "Bacterial small subunit ribosomal RNA", at positions 8 to 493 of the family's 1533-position model. The record is from RNAcentral. Lineage: Bacteria; Bacillati; Bacillota; Bacilli; Lactobacillales; Streptococcaceae.